Molecule: transfer RNA, 66 nt
Filed under: Nacolus tuberculatus
Lineage: Eukaryota; Metazoa; Arthropoda; Insecta; Hemiptera; Cicadellidae
Description: tRNA-Phe
Source: RNAcentral
AUUCAUAUAGCUUAUAUAAGAGUUUAAUAUUGAAGAUAUUGAGGAUAAAUAGAUUUUAUUUGAAUA